UACGUAGGGCGCGAGCGUUGUCCGGAAUCACUGGGCGUAAAGCGCACGUAGGCGGGUCUUUAAGUCAGGGGUGAAAUCCUGGAGCUCAACUCCAGAACUGCCUUUGAUACUGAAGAUCUUGAGUUCGGGAGAGGUGAGUGGAACUGCGAGUGUAGAGGUGAAAUUCGUAGACAUUCGCAAGAACACCAGUGGCGAAGGCGGCUCACUGGCCCGAUACUGACGCUGAUGCACGAAAGCGUGGGGAGCAAACAGG
RNAcentral lists this ribosomal RNA (253 nucleotides) under uncultured bacterium. Its description in RNAcentral is "partial 16S ribosomal RNA". It matches the Rfam family "Bacterial small subunit ribosomal RNA", at positions 524 to 776 of the family's 1533-position model. The record is from RNAcentral.